This 421-nucleotide transfer-messenger RNA is filed under the name Allobosea sp. RAC05. RNAcentral's name for it is "Bosea sp. RAC05 Alphaproteobacteria transfer-messenger RNA". It matches the Rfam family "Alphaproteobacteria transfer-messenger RNA". Rfam says of the family: Bacterial tmRNA, also known as 10Sa RNA or SsrA, is named for its dual tRNA and mRNA-like properties. Its role is to liberate the mRNA from a stalled ribosome. To accomplish this part of the tmRNA is used as a reading frame that ends in a translation stop signal. Lineage: Bacteria; Pseudomonadati; Pseudomonadota; Alphaproteobacteria; Hyphomicrobiales; Alloboseaceae. The record is from Rfam by way of RNAcentral.
GUCCUUGAAAAAUGCCUCGUUAUCGCGUAACAGAACAAUGCUGCUUUCGGGCGGCUAUGGCGAUAAAUCGUCAUCGGAAUAGACCUUGCGGACCCGGGGGCGGUACCCGGCGCCUCCACCAUGGACACAUGCGCAAGCGCUGCGGGCCAUCCCGGUAAAUGCGCGCGCAGCGAUAGCAGGCGAGGGCCGUAAACCCGGAUCGCAUGUGUCUUUGAUGGGGGCGAAACAGGCUCGACGUGGGGUGGUAAAAGGUGGUCUUUCGCUCGGUAUGAUUCCGCCGUCAUCGGGUCUUGCGUAGGUGUCAACGACAACAACGCUGGGUACGCUCUCGCCGCGUGAGCGGUGCGGGUAUCCCGUCUAGUCCUGUAGGGUAGCACCUUCAGGCGGGGUUCGGAGGCACCUGGCAACAGAAGCCUCCACU